RNAcentral lists this transfer RNA (74 nucleotides) under Euryarchaeota archaeon ADurb.Bin023. Its description in RNAcentral is "tRNA-Asn". It matches the Rfam family "tRNA". Rfam says of the family: Transfer RNA (tRNA) molecules are approximately 80 nucleotides in length. The record is from RNAcentral. Lineage: Archaea; Methanobacteriati; Methanobacteriota.
GCCGCCAUAGCUCAGUAGGUAGAGCGCUCGACUGUUAAUCGAAUGGUCGCAGGUUCGAGUCCUGCUGGCGGCGC